Molecule: ribosomal RNA, 305 nt
Filed under: uncultured bacterium
Lineage: Bacteria
Description: bacterial SSU rRNA
Rfam family: Bacterial small subunit ribosomal RNA
Source: RNAcentral
ACCUACGGGGCGCAGCAGUAGGGAAUUUUCGUCAAUGGGCGCAAGCCUGAACGAGCAAUGCCGCGUGGACGAGGAAGGUCUUCGGAUCGUAAAGUUCUGUUGAAGGGGAAAAAGAGCGGAGAGAGGAAAUGGUCUCCGAUUGAUGUUACCCUUCGAGGAAGUCACGGCUAACUACGUGCCAGCAGCCGCGGUAAUACGUAGGUGGCGAGCGUUAUCCGGAAUGAUUGGGCGUAAAGGGUGCGUAGGCGGCCUGCUAAGUCUGGAGUGAAAGGUACCGGCUCAACCGGUACAGGCUCUGGAAACUG